RNAcentral lists this ribosomal RNA (846 nucleotides) under uncultured beta proteobacterium. RNAcentral describes it as "bacterial SSU rRNA". It matches the Rfam family "Bacterial small subunit ribosomal RNA", at positions 58 to 902 of the family's 1533-position model. The record is from RNAcentral. Lineage: Bacteria; Pseudomonadati; Pseudomonadota; Betaproteobacteria.
CAAGUCGAGCGGCAGCGCGGGGCAACCUGGCGGCGAGCGGCGAACGGGUGAGUAAUGCAUCGGAACAUGUCCAAGUCGUGGGGGAUAGCCCGGCGAAAGCCGGAUUAAUACCGCAUACGCCCGAGAGGGGAAAGCGGGGGACCGCAAGGCCUCGCGCGAUUGGGUUGGCCGAUGUCCGAUUAGCUAGUUGGCGGGGUAAAGGCCCACCAAGGCGAUGAUCGGUAGCUGGUCUGAGAGGAUGAUCAGCCACACUGGGACUGAGACACGGCCCAGACUCCUACGGGAGGCAGCAGUGGGGAAUUUUGGACAAUGGGGGAAACCCUGAUCCAGCCAUUCCGCGUGAGUGAAGAAGGCCUUCGGGUUGUAAAGCUCUUUUGUCCGGAGCGAAAAGGUCACGGUGAAUAUCCGUGACUACUGACGGUACCGGAAGAAUAAGCACCGGCUAACUACGUGCCAGCAGCCGCGGUAAUACGUAGGGUGCGAGCGUUAAUCGGAAUUACUGGGCGUAAAGCGUGCGCAGGCGGUUUUGCAAGCCGGAUGUGAAAUCCCCGGGCUCAACCUGGGAAUGGCAUUUGGGACUGCAAGGCUCGAGUGCGGCAGAGGAGACUGGAAUUCCUGGUGUAGCAGUGAAAUGCGUAGAUAUCAGGAGGAAUACCGAUGGCGAAGGCAGGUCUCUGGGCUGACACUGACGCUCAUGCACGAAAGCGUGGGGAGCAAACAGGAUUAGAUACCCUGGUAGUCCACGCCCUAAACGAUGUCGACUGGUUGUUGGGGGUUUGACACUCUCAGUAACGAAGCUACGCGUGAAGUCGACCGCCUGGGGAGUACGGCCGCCAGGUUAAACUC